This 615-nucleotide unclassified non-coding RNA is filed under the name Bradyrhizobium sp. STM 3112. Its description in RNAcentral is "partial 16S-23S ribosomal RNA intergenic spacer". The stretch from base 63 to 135 matches the Rfam family "tRNA". Lineage: Bacteria; Pseudomonadati; Pseudomonadota; Alphaproteobacteria; Hyphomicrobiales; Nitrobacteraceae. The record is from RNAcentral.
UCGGAAGUUCAGUCUUCCCAGGCCCACCACUUUCAUCGAGCGAGCAUUCGUCUUCUGGUUACGGGGCCAUAGCUCAGCUGGGAGAGCGCGUGCUUUGCAAGCAUGAGGUCGUCGGUUCGAUCCCGUCUGGCUCCACCAGAUGGUUUGAUCAUCGAGGCUUCAACCGUCGUCCGCGAAACAUCACUUCGCACUCGCUAGUCUGGAUAGACAGUGGGUUGCGUGAUUUCUGACAUCGUAAAGAGGAGAUCGAUCCGAGUUGGGUCGUGCAGCAAUUGUUGCGCGAGCCUUCAUUAUCUCCGGAUCAUUUCGGCGCUCGCGCGUCCUUCAGUGUGGCUCACAAGGCUGCGUCUGGAAGGAGUGCGGGUUGUAAAUGAUCCUUUUAGCGAAGCUUGACCGCCUCGCUAUCGGAACGAUCUUACGAAGCAAGCUGGUCUUUCUAGUCAAUGUCCGGCUGUACGUAGCGUUCAUCGAGGGCGCGAGCUGAAAGGCAAUCGUACAGACAACAUUCUGCCGAGUGUGUGGACAUUGAUAAUGAGAGCAAUCAAGUGCCUUAAGGGUGUUCGGUGGAUGCCUUGGCGCUGAGAGGCGAUGAAGGACGUGCUACGCUGCGAUAAG